CGGCGCCAUCUGUGCCAGCAGCCGAGGUAAUGCCGUGGUGGCAGACGUUGUUCUGAAGACUUGGGCGGAAUGGGCGCGUAGGCGGCCUACUAAGGCAUACGUGAAAGUCCAUGUCGCAACCGUUGAACUGCGUCUGGGACUGGAAGGCUUGAAUUCGGGAGAGGGAUGCGUAAUUCCAGGUGUAGCGGUGAAAUGCGUAGAUAUCUGGAGGAACACCGGUGGCGAAGGCGGCAUCCUGGACCGACAUUGACGCUGAGGCGCGAAAGCCAGGGGAGCAAACGGGAUUAGAUACCCGGGAGUC
Molecule: ribosomal RNA, 301 nt
Filed under: uncultured Haloquadratum sp.
Lineage: Archaea; Methanobacteriati; Methanobacteriota; Halobacteria; Halobacteriales; Haloferacaceae
Description: bacterial SSU rRNA
Rfam family: Bacterial small subunit ribosomal RNA
Source: RNAcentral